GCCGCCUGUGCCCGCCUGGGGCCCCCGCUGGUGCCCGGGGCCGACGCCGCCGCCCGGGCCCCUCCCGGAGCUGGGCCCUUGCUGCUUUGUGGCCGCCCGUACGGACCCGCCGCUGCCCUGAGCGCCCCUCCGAGCCCCGAAAGUUGGAGAUAAAGGGGAUUUUAAUAAAAAAAUAAAAAAAGGGCCUCGGCUGAGUGAGGGGGGAUAUGGGGCUGGAAGGGGCUGUGCUGGGGCUGUGUGCUCGGGGAGUUGUUGACAUGUAGGUGCCUUGUGUCAGUGCUCUGUUGGGAGAAGGGUAUUGCGUUACCUGAAGCGACUCAUCAGUUUGGAUUAUUAUUAUUUUUUUAUUAUUUAUCUAUGAUUUUGUUGUGAUUUGUCAGUUUGGUUUAUUAUUUUUAAAGAUUUAUUUGUGAUUUUGUUGUUUGAACCUGCAAGCCUGAAGGGGUGCUGCGGGGCUUGCGCAAACUAAUUGGUAUGUUGUGUUAUCUUCCUCAGUCUGGAAAUACACGAAGAGCCAUGAAGUACCAGUUCUUGUAGGAGUGAAGCUUGGUUACAUGCAGAAAAAGCAUUUAUUCAAGUGUCCUUAAACUCAUUUUUGAGCUUUUCUUUCAUAUUUGUUUAUAUAUAUAAUGUAUUUUUCUUCUUUGUGGAAAAAAACGACUUUAAUACUGGGAAUGAGGUGUAUUUUUCAUUUAUGUGAAACUUUAAUACUGGGAAUCUUACUGUUAUGUAUUUAAAGCAGAGCUAUAUGGGGUUUUACAUACAGUCAAGAGUUAUUUUAUACUGUUUCUUGUUACAGAUGUUUACAUUUAUUCUUGACGCGUUUCUUAUAAAUAAUGCACUGAUUAUAAGGGUAUUUUCCUCUUAAUUUCAGAGGAAUACUUCCUGUAUUAUCACCUCAAGAUAACCAUCAGGGGCAAAGCAUGCUUCUAAUAAGAUUUGCUAUAUUUGGCUAUAAAAUCGAUAUAGUGCCCAAAGUGGAACGCAGGUAUCUAAGAGUUGUUGCAUCUUGAAGCUGGUGGUAUCUCAAGCUUUUGAGGACGUACAGAAGAGUAAAGAGCUUUGUGUUCUCUUCCCAGUGGGUGCAUGUGUCGUGUUGGUCCUUUGUUACGUUUAGCAGCCUGUUUCAGUCGGUAAGUGAUGUAUUUGCCAGCACUUCAUUGGUUCCACAGCUUUUCCAUUUGUGUGUGCCACUAGAUGGUGCAUUUGCUCCAGCAUACCAGGUCUAGGGGGAUCGUUUUAGCAAGGCUGAAAUUGGUCUUUGGUGACAGAUUGCAUCUCCAUCCCUUCUAGAAAAUGAAGCAAUGAGGAUGUGUAGGAGCAAUGUCAAAGGAAGAUGGAAAUGAGAGUUCAGCUGCCCUUUGCAACUGUAGUGCUUUCUCCUGCUUGCACCCUCCCAGCAGCAGAGCACAGGUGAGCACAGAUAAAAGCCACCGUCCCACAGGCACAGAGUCAGGCAGGUCUCUUGCAGGGAUUUCAUGGUGUGAUUGCCACAGAGAGUGAAUCACCUUUUCUAGCUGGCUCCCUUCUCCAGAGGUUCCUUCAAUUGUCAGCAGAGAUGGUCUCUUCCAAGGAAUGUUUUGGAGCUUUUAGAUGAAGUUCUUUUUCUGAAUCACUUUUUAUAGGAGCACUUCUUCUCAUCGGUUAUUUACAAGUUCAAACCAAAAAGCUUUAGAGCCUGGGAAGACUUGCAGCCGGCAAAGAGAGGUGCUGGGAAUCCCCCUCAGUCUUGCUCAGACACUCACACACUUGUGCUGUGGCUGGAAUAGAAAACUGCAGUGCUGGCUGCAUUUAGACCAGGGAGAUUGCUCGGGGUUUGCAUGGCUUUUCUAGCAGCUCAGAAGUACUGGGGCCUCUCCUGUGUUUUGCAUCCCUCCAGCAGCAGAGGCUCUUACUGGUGAUCCUCUUUCUCUUGGGUUUGUGACUGAGUUUAGAAAACUUGACUUCUGCUUAUUUUUCUUCAAGUUUCUUCUUUGGUCAACAUUCUUAUAGGUUUUAUAAAUAAGC
Cygnus olor (mute swan) is the source of this 2007-nucleotide long non-coding RNA. RefSeq lists it as uncharacterized. The transcript has 3 exons. Lineage: Eukaryota; Metazoa; Chordata; Aves; Anseriformes; Anatidae. The record is from RefSeq and is a predicted model, not a curated record.